RNAcentral lists this transfer RNA (76 nucleotides) under Candidatus Atribacteria bacterium. RNAcentral's name for it is "tRNA-Lys". It matches the Rfam family "tRNA". Rfam says of the family: Transfer RNA (tRNA) molecules are approximately 80 nucleotides in length. The record is from RNAcentral. Lineage: Bacteria; Pseudomonadati; Atribacterota; Atribacteria.
GGGCCGUUAGCUCAGUUGGUAGAGCAUCUGACUCUUAAUCAGAGGGUCGCAGGUUCGAGACCUGCACGGCCCAUCA